RNAcentral lists this transfer RNA (81 nucleotides) under Treponema sp. RNAcentral's name for it is "tRNA-Leu". It matches the Rfam family "tRNA". From Rfam's summary of the family: Transfer RNA (tRNA) molecules are approximately 80 nucleotides in length. Their secondary structure includes four short double-helical elements and three loops (D, anti-codon, and T loops). Further hydrogen bonds mediate the characteristic L-shaped molecular structure. tRNAs have two regions of fundamental functional importance: the anti-codon, which is responsible for specific mRNA codon recognition, and the 3' end, to which the tRNAs corresponding amino acid is attached (by aminoacyl-tRNA synthetases). tRNAs cope with the degeneracy of the genetic code in two manners: having more than one tRNA (with a specific anti-codon) for a particular amino acid; and 'wobble' base-pairing, i.e. permitting non-standard base-pairing at the 3rd anti-codon position. Lineage: Bacteria; Pseudomonadati; Spirochaetota; Spirochaetia; Treponematales; Treponemataceae. The record is from RNAcentral.
GCGAGGGUGGUGAAAUUGGUAGACACGCCAGACUUAGAAUCUGGUGCUUUUGGCAUAAGGGUUCAAGUCCCUUCCUUCGCA